CUUUUAAAUCCGUGUGUGAGUGUUAGGACCCGCAAAUCAAAAUGCCGCUCUUAGUUUUUAUUACGAACAAAAGUCAUAGACAUUCGAAGACUGGGAGAUCCUAAUAUAAAAGAGCAAGUAAGAAGCUCACUAGAAAGAGAAAUAAAACACAUCAAGAUAGAAGAGACGACGGCAACCUGGAGCGUAAUAGAGAGAACAAUAAACAAUACCAAGAGCAACAAAUAGGGUUUAUGAACAGCAGUAAAAAGCAAGGAUGGAUGGGAAGAUUCAGGGAAAAAGAUCCAUCGGAAGACGCCAGAACUUAUGGCUGAAGGACAUACGCAUGUGGUUUGGGCGCUCAUCCACAGAGAUCUUCCGAACAGCUGUUUCCAAAACCACACUGGCCAUAAGAAGGCGAAUUUGUUUAAUCUUCUAAUUGAAAUACAAGUGUCAGUCAAUAGCUUUCGUACUAUGUGUUGUUUAAAAAAUGAAUCCCAAUGGAAAACAGUUCGAAUUUUUGGUACAAAUUUGAUGUUCGCUCAUCAUAUGCAAAAACCAAACAAACAAUAGCAAUUUCAGAUUGUUGAUUAAUUUCCUGUUGAUAAAAGUAAAAGCAAAUUGUCUGAGGUGCGACUAUGGCAGCUGAAAGAGAUCAACUAAAUCCCCUCAAGCGAAAUCACUGAAUUGCACAUUUCCGCUGGUAGUUUUGUUAGGAGCCAAAGCCAUUGCUAUUAAUGAUUACGCAUAGAGCCUAUAAUGUACAAAUACGCUUCUCUACUGAUAUACCUACCUUUAAACAAUUGAUAAGAUUACGAGCGAUAAUGGAGUCGCAUAAUGAGCAAAAGAGUCAGCAAGGUCGGCCGACGAAUUCUAAAUUACAUGAGCGAGAAUUAAAUCGAGGUUCGUACCAUCAGUUAACUAUUCGGUGGAAAACAAGUUGCUGUUAAUUUUUUCGGUUUUUGUUCGAUUUUAAAAUUUAGCAAGAAAGUUAUUGUGUUUUUCUGUAACAGUUAAAACGGCCAUGAACGUCAGUUAUUUAUUCUAGUGGAACUAGGUUCGACGUUUAUUUAUUGUUUAUGAUCAUCGUUAAUGUGAAACUUUGAUUCCAUGAUGGUGAGGGCAUGCCUUUACAGGAAUAUAUCCUAACUAUUGAAAACGCAAUCACAGAAC
This is a long non-coding RNA of Dendroctonus ponderosae (mountain pine beetle), 1149 nucleotides long. RefSeq lists it as uncharacterized. The record is from RefSeq and is a predicted model, not a curated record. The transcript is spliced from 3 exons. NCBI's taxonomy places the organism in Eukaryota, Metazoa, Arthropoda, Insecta, Coleoptera, Curculionidae.